UUGAGACGGAAGGCGGAGAUCUGCUACUCUCUUCCUGCAGGGGACCUGGCCUGCCGUGGGGGGUUCCAGCUUCCUUGGAAACGGAGUCCCAGGAGGACAGAGCAGGCAGGAGCGGUCAGUCACUGUCCCUCACAACCCAAGCCUGGAAAUGCUCCUGUUGGUGGGGAGAGCUGGGUCCCCACUCCAGGGAUCCCACCCAGGACUCGGGGUUUGCUGGAAGAUGCCGUCUGGGAUACCUGGAAGGCUAACUCGUCCCACCACCCCACCCACUCUCUGCUGAGUCCCCAUCUCAAGUCGUCUAGACUGCAAGCUCAUGGUACAGGGUGAGGCCAGUAUUCCCUCCCAGGCCCAGAGUCAGCCCCCACGCAGCAGGGCUGCCCGUGACACCCAGUGACGCUCAGUGACGCUGAGCUUUCCUGGGGCAGCCCCUCCCUCCCUGAAAUGGAUGUUGGCAUCACUGAGACACGAUCACCCGUAAAGACCCUCUC
This 488-nucleotide long non-coding RNA is filed under the name Ictidomys tridecemlineatus (thirteen-lined ground squirrel). RNAcentral describes it as "lncRNA (ENSSTOG00000034425.1)". Lineage: Eukaryota; Metazoa; Chordata; Mammalia; Rodentia; Sciuridae. The record is from RNAcentral.